This 776-nucleotide ribosomal RNA is filed under the name uncultured Bacteroidota bacterium. Its description in RNAcentral is "bacterial SSU rRNA". It matches the Rfam family "Bacterial small subunit ribosomal RNA", at positions 64 to 844 of the family's 1533-position model. The record is from RNAcentral. Lineage: Bacteria; Pseudomonadati; Bacteroidota.
AGGGGGUAGAAGCAGCUUGCUGCUUUGAGACCGGCGCACGGGUGCGUAACGCGUAUACAAUCUACCUUUUACAGAGGGAUAGCCCAGAGAAAUUUGGAUUAAUACCUCAUAGUAUUUUCGAAUCGCAUGAUUUGAUUAUUAAAGUUCCAACGGUAAAAGAUGAGUAUGCGUCCCAUUAGCUAGAUGGUAAGGUAACGGCUCACCAUGGCAACGAUGGGUAGGGGUCCUGAGAGGGAGAUCCCCCACACUGGUACUGAGACACGGACCAGACUCCUACGGGAGGCAGCAGUGAGGAAUAUUGGACAAUGGGCGCAAGCCUGAUCCAGCCAUGCCGCGUGCAGGAAGACGGUCCUAUGGAUUGUAAACUGCUUUUAUACAGGAAGAAACACCUCUACGUGUAGAGACUUGACGGUACUGUAUGAAUAAGCAUCGGCUAACUCCGUGCCAGCAGCCGCGGUAAUACGGAGGAUGCAAGCGUUAUCCGGAAUCAUUGGGUUUAAAGGGUCCGUAGGCGGUUUAAUAAGUCAGUGGUGAAAGCCCAUCGCUCAACGAUGGAACGGCCAUUGAUACUGUUAAACUUGAAUUAUUAGGAAGUAACUAGAAUAUGUAGUGUAGCGGUGAAAUGCUUAGAGAUUACAUGGAAUACCAAUUGCGAAGGCAGGUUACUACUAAUAUAUUGACGCUGAUGGACGAAAGCGUGGGGAGCGAACAGGAUUAGAUACCCUGGUAGUCCACGCCGUAAACGAUGGAUACUAGCUGUUCGGAGCAAUCUGAGU